RNAcentral lists this ribosomal RNA (394 nucleotides) under uncultured bacterium. RNAcentral's name for it is "partial 16S ribosomal RNA". It matches the Rfam family "Bacterial small subunit ribosomal RNA", at positions 523 to 917 of the family's 1533-position model. The record is from RNAcentral.
AUACGUAGGGUGCAAGCGUUAAUCGGAAUUACUGGGCGUAAAGCGUGCGCAGGCGGUUUUGUAAGACAGAGGUGAAAUCCCCGGGCUCAACCUGGGAACUGCCAUUGUAACUGCAAGGCUGGAGUGCGGCAGAGGGGGAUGGAAUUCCGCGUGUAGCAGUGAAAUGCGUAGAUAUGCGGAGGAACACCGAUGGCGAAGGCAAUCCCCUGGGCCUGCACUGACGCUCAUGCACGAAAGCGUGGGGAGCAAACAGGAUUAGAUACCCUGGUAGUCCCCGCCCUAAACGAUGUCAACUGGUUGUUGGGGAUUUAUUUUCUCAGUAACGAAGCUAACGCGUGAAGUUGACCGCCUGGGGAGUACGGCCGCAAGGUUAAAACUCAAAUGAAUUGACGGG